GACGAACGCUGGCGGCGUGCUUAACACAUGCAAGUCGAACGGAAAGGCCCUGCUUUUGUUGGGUGCUCGAGUGGCGAACGGGUGAGUAACACGUGAGUAACCUGCCCUUGACUUUGGGAUAACUUCAGGAAACUGGGGCUAAUACCGGAUAGGAGCUCCUGCUGCAUGGUGGGGGUUGGAAAGUUUCGGCGGUUGGGGAUGGACUCGCGGCUUAUCAGCUGGUUGGUGGGGUAGUGGCUUACCAAGGCUUUGACGGGUAGCCGGCCUGAGAGGGUGACCGGCCACCUGGGGACUGAGAUACGGCCCAGACUCCUACGGGAGGCAGCAGUGGGGAAUAUUGCACAAUGGGCGGAAGCCUGAUGCAGCAGCGCCGCGUGCGGGAUGACGGCCUUCGGGUUGUAAACCGCUUUCGCCUGUGACGAAGCGUGAGUGACGGUAAUGGGUAAAGAAGCACCGGCUAACUACGUG
This 468-nucleotide ribosomal RNA is filed under the name uncultured bacterium. RNAcentral describes it as "partial 16S ribosomal RNA". It matches the Rfam family "Bacterial small subunit ribosomal RNA", at positions 28 to 507 of the family's 1533-position model. The record is from RNAcentral.